AGCGAACGCUGGCGGCAGGCCUAACACAUGCAAGUCGAGCGCCCCGCAAGGGGAGCGGCAGACGGGAGAGUAACACGUGGGAACGUACCCUUUGGUUCGGAACAACCCAGGGAAACUUGGGCUAAUACCGGAUAAGCCCUUACGGGGAAAGAUUCAUCGCCGAAGGAUCGGCCCGCGUCUGAUUAGCUAGUUGGUGGGGUAACGGCCCACCAAGGCGACGAUCAGUAGCUGGUCUGAGAGGAUGAUCAGCCUCACUGGGACUGAGACACGGCCCAGACUCCUAGGGGAGGCAGCAGUGGGGAACAUUGGACAAUGGGCGCAAGCCUGAUCCAGCCAUGCCGCGUGGGUGAUGAAGGCCCUAGGGUUGUAAAGCCCUUUCGGCGGGGAAGAUAAUGACGGUACCCGCAGAAGAAGCCCCGGCUAACUUCGUGCCAACAGCCGCCGUAA
This 447-nucleotide ribosomal RNA is filed under the name uncultured bacterium. RNAcentral's name for it is "partial 16S ribosomal RNA". It matches the Rfam family "Bacterial small subunit ribosomal RNA", at positions 29 to 523 of the family's 1533-position model. The record is from RNAcentral.